AAUUCUUGGCAUGGUGACACGGCGGCUGCCGCCACCGGCUAUGGCGGCAUGAGCCUGCCGCCCGACAGCUCUGCAGGGCGCUGAUUCCCACGCUUAACUUUGCUGAUUCCCACGCUUAACUUCGCUGAUUUUCAGGCCGACGCGACCUGUCGGUUGGUGGCAUGCGCCGCGCGGGAGGUCUUUAUAUCGGCUGAUUCUUGCGCUCUCUCUGCACACUCUCGCCGACAGCUCUCUUUCACUCUCUCUCGCGCUGCCUUCUUUCUCUCGUCUCUGCUAUAGUGCCAUUCACCAAGAACACAGAGGAAGAACAUCAAGGUGGACUAUGUUGACACAGUAAUGGUGAUUCGUUGGUGCCGAUGGGUAUUAUUUGGAAAUAUCGUGACACGUAAAUUACUUUUGAAGGACAUCCAUCUUGAAGUUGAGGUGGACUCUCUUGAUGGUAAUGGUGAUACGUUGAUGUUGAUUGGUACUUUUUGGAAAUAUCGUGGCCCGUAAAUUAAUUUUGGAAGAACAAGUUAAGUAGGUUGACUCUCUUGACGGUAAGUUGAUGCUAGGGUAUUAUUUGGAGAUAUCACGACGCAUAAAUUAUUUUUGGAAGGGCACCCAUCAUCAAGUUGAGGUUUUUUGGAAGCCGAAGAUGCAUCCGAGCGAAGUUUGGUCCUGGGAUGCGAGGAAAGAAGAUGACUGUUAAGGUCCUUAUCUGUGUAGGAUGGAAUGAUGGGACAAUUCCUCGUUGGGGUCUAUAGGAGGUUAUUAAAGGUGAUAAGUGGUAGACAAAGAGCAUGACGUUUCCAAGCACACCUAGUGUUUCUUUGUAUGGAGAGCUGAUGGUGUAUGUGCAGUUUAUAUUCCGGCAGUGGUGAUGUUAGAUGCGGUAGCGGCACUGCUUAGGUCGAGUUAGCCAUCACUGAAGUCCCUAACGAUGACCCAUUAGAGCCGAUGGGCGGCCACCAUGUGUCCGACCUAGGAUAUUGUUCUGCGGUUGUUGACAUCAAUGAACAUGUGGAGGGAAUGCCGUAGGCGCUAGAUUAUGACGAUGAUGGUCACUCUUCUUUGUCAUCAUCCUCAGACGAAUAAGGUGUUGGCCCCUCUCAGAGGGAGGUUGCGGCACCGAUGGACCCUGAGUUCUAUGACCGUCACCAAUGAUUUUUUCUUUGUUUCGAGCCUAGCAGAGACAAGUCUGUAGGUUGGGCAGAGUUUCAUAGACAAAUACUCCGCUGACCAGGAAAUAAAGAGGCAUGAAUUAGCCAUUUUCUCCAUCAUAGAAUGAAAUAGUCAGACUGAACUCAAUUGAAGUCAUAUGCAUCCGUUUGAAUAAGGUUGCAAGGGAGAGUGGUCGCUCGCAAGAACCCUAGGGUAUGCCACCGCUAAACAUGUGUCACAUGGCAUGUCAGCGGUGGUGGAAAACAUCAACAUUGGUGUUAAGGUUCUGCGAAAAAUCUACCUAAGAUCUAAUUGGCUUCAAAGUCGGCUACAACAAGGCUAGAAGUGACAAUAAGAAAAUUUUCCAGAGAUUGUAUGGCAUCUAUGAGCAGUCUUAUGCUUGUGCCCCCAGAAUGCUUCAUAAUAUAGCGGUAGGUAACAAGGCACUCGGGUGCUCAUGAAAGCUUCCGCACCUAAGUGAGGAAAACAAAAUUAUCUUUUACCAUUUAUUACGGGGAUUUGCACCAACUAUAGAGGCAUUCCAGUAUUAUCAUCCAAAACUAUCAAUUGAUGGUAUCUUUCUCACUUGAAUGUACAAGGGCACACUGCUAGUGGCGAUCCCAGCAUACGGAAAUAAUCAAUUACUUAUAUUGCCCAUGCAGUGGUCGAGGGUGAUAACAAAGAUGGUUGGUUCUGGUUUUUUAGCUGCUUAAACCUUGGAGUCGUGAAAAUCGUCCCAGUGUUUGCUUCAUCUCUAGUCGCAAUAUAGUAUUAUUGAGCGCACUCGACAGAAUCAAGCAAUCAACGAACCCUGACUGGGGUUGGCUGAUCUAGAGACAAGGUGGUGAAUGAGGCAUUUGGCCAAAAAAAAUUACAAAAAAGUCAAGAAUAAAGAUUUGUUCAAGCUAUUCAAUAGGAUGUACAUGUAGAACAUUGAUGCGAAGAUCAAUGCAAUUUUGGCAGGAAUCAAUGGAUAAAUCGAGUGAUGUUGGCUUGCCAACGAAAGAAGACAGGAGGAAUCGUAGGAUGGCUAUAAAUUUUCCUAGUGGAUAAUAGAGAACUUCCCUCAUUUAUAUAAGUGGGCACCAUCACAUAACGCCAGGCACGCUAUGACAUAAUGACCAGCAACAUAGAUAUGUACAAUGUCAUGCUUAAAGGUCUGUAAGCCCUCUCUCACACAUCCUUGAUUAAUGAAACUUAGAACCGGAGUCUGGCAUACUUUGUAGAUAUAGUACAGGUGGCCAAUGCACAAUUUACAAUGAACAAGUCAUAGUCUGAAAAGAUGUAUCGACAUCAGGACGAGAAAGCAACGAAAUUCCAAAGUCAUGGUUGUAAAACGAGCUAAUUUUUUGAAAUCCCACCACAGAGGAGCAAGUAAGCGGGUUGUCACCUUCGGUCCCGCUACGUAUGAGUGCACUUGUUACAAGCGAGAGCUUCUGCGAUAUCCGUGUAGUCAUUACCUCAAGGCGGCUGCGGAUCAUAGCAUCAGCGUUGAGAACUAUACAUCUUCUUACUUCAACACGUACAAUACAUUCAACACCUAGAGCGGUGAGUUGUCGACAUGGGAAAAUGAUCAACUCUAUAUGUACCUCUGGCCGGAAAAAUAACCCAAUGGGUUUUCGGCCCGACGUUUAUGAGAACCGCAAAGGGAAAAUAUUCAUCUUGGUAUCAUAGAAACGACAUAGAUCAUAGCCAGUCAGGAGAACCAAGCUAGUGUCGAAUCUGCACGUGCCCAUUCACUCGUGAAGAGAAUGUCGGCAUUGUAGCAAAAAACCCUACAUGAUGUACUUUUUACUCGAGAUGUACCCUAAUAAAUUUUUACUCGUGAUGAUUAUGUUUAUCUGUACCGUGGGGUGUACAAUAAUAUGUUUGUAUUCGUGAUGAUUAGUUUUAUGUUUUCACUGUAUGUGUCGUAAUACAUUUGUACUAGUGAUAUAUUAUAAUAAAUUGUUCUCGUGAUGCCAUGUUUUAUUUGUGUUGUAAUAAAAUGUCUAGUUGUACAAAUAUUGUAGUGAACUUACUGUAGUAAUCUAUGAUUAUGUGUGUACGGGUUACAGU
Molecule: long non-coding RNA, 3201 nt
Organism: Lolium perenne
Lineage: Eukaryota; Viridiplantae; Streptophyta; Magnoliopsida; Poales; Poaceae
Source: RefSeq, a predicted model, not a curated record